AUAAUGAAAUUUAUAGUAUGAGGAAAAUCCGUCGACUUUAUAAAUCGUGA
This 50-nucleotide transfer RNA is filed under the name Lysimachia foemina. Its description in RNAcentral is "Anagallis foemina partial tRNA-Leu". Lineage: Eukaryota; Viridiplantae; Streptophyta; Magnoliopsida; Ericales; Primulaceae. The record is from RNAcentral.